Molecule: long non-coding RNA, 1025 nt
Organism: Apis cerana (Asiatic honeybee)
Lineage: Eukaryota; Metazoa; Arthropoda; Insecta; Hymenoptera; Apidae
Source: RefSeq, a predicted model, not a curated record
GAACGAAAAAAAAGUGAAGUAUCCGGGAUAUAUAACGGAUAAAAUACGCUCUUUUUUUUUUUGCUAUUUUCUUCUUUCUUAUCUUCUUCUUGCGACGAUAAAAUUUUAUUAGUUAAUUCUUGUGUUAAAAAUUUGAAAAAGAUUUUUACAGUUGACAUCAGAGCGAUGAAAUUGGGGAGACAGAGAAUAAAUUCUCGGUUGAAAAUGCCUGCGACAUUCCCAAUAAUAUAUUCAUCGUAUUUUUCUCUUUCUUCUUUAGAAAUGAAUAUUUAAAAGAAAAAAAAUGUCUUCAAAAGACACAUUCUAUGAUCGACAUUUUAUUGUAAUAAAUCGAUCUCAUUUUAGCGAGAAAUUUGAUUCUAGCAUUUAAAAUAAAUAAAUGAUAUACAAGUUGCAGAGUGAACCGGAAGUAAUAUUAUCUAUUCAGUAAGAUGAUUCAUUAUAUUGAAACCAAUCAUAUAAUUAUCGAAUAUAAUUUUUCAUUUAUAAAAUUUUUUUAAAGGAAAAAAACAUGCGGUUCGUAACAUAACCUAAUUAAGCGUUUCUUAUUAUUUCCCGUUUACUCUGUGCAUUAAUAAAGAGACACGUAUACAUACUAUAUAAUAAAAUAUAUUAUAGUGAUAUAGUAGAAAAUUAUGAUUAUGUACAUGUUGUAUGGAUAAGCUAAAUAAUAAUUGUACGAAUAUUACCAUUUAAACGUGUUCAAUGCGUGUAAUACGGAAUGUGUGAAAUUAUAUUGAGAAACUGGCCUAAUAAUACCCAACUUUUGUGCUGAUGAUUUCAUUUAUUCGUGGUUCCAAUAUCAUCCAAAAAAAAGAGAAAACUAUACGAAAAUCAAUAAUGGAACCAUCGUUUUCAUCAGGACAAAAUAAAAUCAGGAACAAAAUAUAUUUGUUCAAAACUUCUAUCAAACACGUCCCUAUAUAAUUAUCUCAUACCUUUCUUAUCCUUGUUGCUACAGGGGUCUGAGUGAUUCUGUAGACAGUCAUUAAAUUUGAUUAAAAUGAUUAGAAAUCAAUAAUCAA